GGACCGGCUGUGAAGAACCAGGAGGGAGCGGGAGGGAGAGCAGAGCAGUUGUUAACAGCUUCCCUGGUAUGACCAGCUGGAUUCGGAGAAGCACAACAAAGUUGUAAAGUUCAGCAAAGAAGAUCUGAGGGCUUCACACAGGGACUUCACAUCAGAACUCUUCCAAACAACUGUUUUCUUGGACAUUUCCCAGAGCUUGAAAAAAAGGAAGAAGCAACAGCAGCCUAAGAUGGAUGUGGAGGUGCAUGGGGUUUGGGGGACCCCAAUGGAUGAGGACAUGAUGCUAGGAAGCAGGCUUUUGACAUAUAUUGACCCUCAAGCUCUGGAGUGAGGAAUGCAUGCUUGCAAGGGGGAAAAUAUAUUUCUUCUUAUCCUAUCAAAACACAAAACCACCAGCUGUAAAAAGAGGAGAGUCCACACGGAAGGUAGUACUGUCCCUGGUCACUACCCAAGACAAAUAUGAAACAUCACAUGAGGAAGAAGUGAUUUCUUUGCGCCAGAACUUCAAGAUAAAACAUCAAAGCAUUAAAACCACAGGACCUAGACAACCUGGAGGAAACAGAAGGCAGAGAUGUACCGGGGUGAUUAUAAUCAAAUGAGCAAAGCCUUUGGCUUGAAGUUCCCUGAUACAGCUCCAAAAUAGCAGAUAAGCACCUUUUAAAGGAACAAGG
Molecule: long non-coding RNA, 671 nt
Filed under: Heterocephalus glaber (naked mole-rat)
Lineage: Eukaryota; Metazoa; Chordata; Mammalia; Rodentia; Bathyergidae
Description: lncRNA (ENSHGLG00000033739.1)
Source: RNAcentral